AGAGUUUGAUCCUGGCUCAGGACGAACGCUGGCGGCGUGCUUAACACAUGCAAGUCGAGGGCUCCAGCAAUGGGGACCGGCGAACGGGUGCGUAACACGUGAGCGACCGACCUUUUCGUGGGGGAUAGCCGGCCCAACGGCCGGGUAAUACCGCAUACGAUCUCUUUGGUGCAUGCCGAGGAGAUGAAACCCUUCGGGGGCGAAAUGACGGGCUCGCGGCCUAUCAGCUAGUUGGUGGGGUAACGGCCCACCAAGGCGACGACGGGUAGCUGGUCUGAGAGGAUGGCCAGCCACAUUGGGACUGAGAAACGGCCCAGACUCCUACGGGAGGCAGCAGUGGGGAAUAUUGCGCAAUGGCCGAAAGGCUGACGCAGCGACGCCGCGUGUGGGAUGACGCCCUUCGGGGUGUAAACCACUGUUGCCCGGGACGAACAAGCGGAUCAGUCCGCUCUGACGGUACCGGGUGAGGAAGCACCGGCUAACUCCGUGCCAGCAGCCGCGGUAAUACGGAGGGUGCGAGCGUUGUCCGGAAUCACUGGGCGUAAAGGGCGCGUAGGCGGCCUCUUAAGGGUGCGGUGAAAGUCCGGGGCUCAACCCCGGAUCGGCCGUGCCGACUGCGAGGCUGGAGCACUGUAGAGGCGAGUGGAAUUCCGGGUGUAGCGGUGGAAUGCGUAGAGAUCCGGAAGAACACCGGUGGCGAAGGCGGCUCGCUGGGCAGUGGCUGACGCUGAGGCGCGACAGCGUGGGGAGCAAACAGGAUUAGAUACCCUGGUAGUCCACGCCGUAAACGAUGGGCACUAGGUGCUUGGGGGAGCGACCCUCCGAGUGCCGGCGCUAACGCAUUAAGUGCCCCGCCUGGGGAGUACGGCCGCAGGCUGAAACUCAAAGGAUUGACGGGGCCCGCACAGCGGUGGGAGCAUGGUGGUUUAAUUCGACGCAACGCGAAGAACCUUACCUGGG
Molecule: ribosomal RNA, 960 nt
Filed under: uncultured bacterium
Lineage: Bacteria
Description: bacterial SSU rRNA
Rfam family: Bacterial small subunit ribosomal RNA
Source: RNAcentral